RNAcentral lists this long non-coding RNA (289 nucleotides) under Lathyrus oleraceus (garden pea). RNAcentral's name for it is "Pisum sativum (pea) long non-coding RNA (PSAT_LNC040229)". The record is from RNAcentral. Lineage: Eukaryota; Viridiplantae; Streptophyta; Magnoliopsida; Fabales; Fabaceae.
ACUUAUGCUAUGAGCUCCAAAUGAAAAUGGUUUCUUCAAAAAAGUUGUAGCCAUUUCAUCCCUAUUCAAUUAGGUCAUAAAUUCCACAUCAUUUGGAUUUGGAAUAAGGGAGUUAUGCAUUUUAGAAGCUGAGGAAAAUUGCUUGUUCAAUGAUGAUGGUCCAAAAUGACCUAUAAUGUUUCCUCUUGUCACACGCCCCUGCAAGUUGAAUUUGACAUUUCUCAAAGAAUAAAAGUUGGAGAAGACAUCUUGAAACAUGAAACUUGGAUGGCCUUCAUCUCAUAAAAAU